GGGUGACACAGGGGACGUAAGACACAGCUGUCACCGCGCCCCAAGAGCUGAGGGCGCUGAGCCCCGUGUUCCCACAGGGGUGGCGGCCCGGGUUGGUCCCCCUUGCCGGAGUCUUGUGGCCCUGUGUGCUGAUGCAGCGACACGACAGCAGAAACCUCGGUGGUUUCUGAGAGGCAGGAGAAACCUCGGUGGUUUCUGAGAGGCAGGAGAAGCUGUUCCUGUCAGCCAAGGGGGACAAACAAGGCUUCCACUGCGAGCUGUGGCUUAGGAGUAAUUUAAGUUACCCUGAGCCACAGCCCAGAAGUGGAGUAGUGAGAAGAACUCUGGAAGGAACAAAGAUCCUGGCCCUGGGAAUACACAGUCCUGGAAGUGGAGCAGCCAGUGCAUGUCUGGGGGGUGCACACAGUGUGCAAGUGCCUGAAGAGAGGAGGCACCUGGGCAGACCAGUGCUGGGUGGGAAGGUGACUUGGAAGAGAGAAACAGAUGCUUUCUGAAAGCUGACGGCAAAGUGAAAACAAAGCCUCUUCAGGCAGCCCGAGUUGCAAGGUUAGGUAGGCCUGUGGAGGUGGGAGUGCUGCUCCCCAGAAUCUGAGUGCUCUCUUGACAGUCCUUUGCUGAGAAUGAAAUUGCAGAAAUAUUGAACACUUAUUGAACUGUCCCUGCAGUGACUGUCCAUGCUCAGAAACUGAAGCAAAUGGGAUAGAGGUUUUUGCUUUGUAAGAGCAGAGUUCUGGGAAGUUUGGGGUCUCUACUACUAGCAGGCACUGUCCUUCCCAAGGGAGGAAGGCUUUAGGACCCACCAUUGAAGGGCUGUGAGGAGAAAUCAUCUGAUUCUGCUGAUCCCAUAGGUGAGACUCCCCUGCAGUUGCUUGGACUGCUGAAUUGUGUUUACAGGCAAGGGGGAAGGGACCCUGAAAAAGUGGUGAUCACUGAUGCUGUUGCCUGAAAGCUGCAAGGUCUGAGCACAGUUCCUGCUGGUAUCACUUGAUAAGCUGUUGGGACACCAAGGGGUAACUCACACGCCUUGUUCUGGAUGGUGCAUGCCAGGAGAUGGGCAGAGUAGUGGCACAAGCAAGAAUAGUGCUGGGAGUUCAGCUUGGAAAGCAUUUUAGAAGUGGUUGGAAAAUAUGUUGACUGUUGCAGUGUUGAUCCUGAUAAUUUUGUCCGUAGGAGAAGGGGUGGGUUUGGGAUAUGUGUCUUAUGUUUGCACUGGUGAGGUGUUAACUACCCUGGUCUGCAGGGGCAAGGGUUGGAGUUUAUAGUGAAUAUGCAGUCAGAUGAUGAUUAUGUUACAGAUGGAGUUUGAAUAAGGGUGAAACAAUUCUUAACUUACCUUUCAAUAAAGUGCAGGGUGGAAUGUAAAGAACA
Molecule: long non-coding RNA, 1368 nt
Filed under: Serinus canaria (Common canary)
Lineage: Eukaryota; Metazoa; Chordata; Aves; Passeriformes; Fringillidae
Description: lncRNA (ENSSCAG00000006054.1)
Source: RNAcentral